RNAcentral lists this ribosomal RNA (451 nucleotides) under uncultured bacterium. RNAcentral's name for it is "bacterial SSU rRNA". It matches the Rfam family "Bacterial small subunit ribosomal RNA", at positions 354 to 796 of the family's 1533-position model. The record is from RNAcentral.
GUGGGGAAUCUUGCGCAAUGGACGAAAGUCUGACGCAGCGACGCCGCGUGGGCGACGAAGGCCUUCGGGUUGUAAAGCCCUGUGGGGAGGGACGAACACUGAUUGUUCAAAUAGGGCAGUCAGCUGACGGUACCUCCUUAGCAAGCACCGGCUAACUCUGUGCCAGCAGCCGCGGUAAGACAGAGGGUGCAAACGUUGCUCGGAAUUACUGGGCGUAAAGCGCGUGUAGGCGGUCACGCAAGUCAGGUGUGAAAGCCCAGGGCUCAACCCUGGAAGUGCACAUGAUACUACGUGGCUGGAGUACUGAAGAGGAGAGCGGAAUUCCCGGUGUAGAGGUGAAAUUCGUAGAUAUCGGGAGGAACACCAGUGGCGAAGGCGGCUCUCUGGGCAGAUACUGACGCUGAGACGCGAAAGCGUGGGUAGCAAACAGGAUUAGAUACCCCAGUAGUCC